UAGUGGUGCCAAUAUAAAAUAAAAAUAAACUAAAAUAAAUAAAUAUGCAAGUAUUUUGUUGAUAUUUUAUGCAACCUAAAAUUAUAACUAUUAAUAAAAUUAUCAAUUUGAUACUUUUUAUGUUCAUGAUUUGGUAAUAAUUUAUUAAAACUUAAUUUAGUUACCCAAGUAACUUAUGCAAAUUGACCGGACUGGAUAAACG
Molecule: unclassified non-coding RNA, 202 nt
Filed under: Hevea brasiliensis (rubber tree)
Lineage: Eukaryota; Viridiplantae; Streptophyta; Magnoliopsida; Malpighiales; Euphorbiaceae
Source: RNAcentral